RNAcentral lists this ribosomal RNA (254 nucleotides) under uncultured bacterium. RNAcentral describes it as "partial 16S ribosomal RNA". It matches the Rfam family "Bacterial small subunit ribosomal RNA", at positions 524 to 776 of the family's 1533-position model. The record is from RNAcentral.
CACGUAGGGGGCGAGCGUUGUCCGGAUUUAUUGGGCGUAAAGGGCUCGUAGGCGGUUUGUCGCGUCGGGAGUGAAAUCCACUGGCUUAACUGGUGGCUUGCUUUCGAUACGGGCAGACUGGAGGUAUGCAGGGGGAGAACGGAAUUCCUGGUGUAGCGGUGAAAUGCGCAGAUAUCAGGAGGAACACCGGUGGCGAAGGCGGUUCUCUGGGCAUGUCCUGACGCUGAGGAGCGAAAGUGUGGGGAGCGAACAGG